Molecule: long non-coding RNA, 239 nt
Organism: Pan troglodytes (chimpanzee)
Lineage: Eukaryota; Metazoa; Chordata; Mammalia; Primates; Hominidae
Exons: 3
Source: RefSeq, a predicted model, not a curated record
UGACGUCAGCCCGCCGUCGCCGCGAUAUUAAAAAAGGGUCAGAGGCGCCACGGCUGCUGCAAUGGAAACCCUGUUUAAUGUACCACAACUCCACAUUUGUGAAGUCGCCAUGUUUUCUUCUAGAAGUUUUAUUAUUUGAAGCUUUUAUAAGGAUUACAUAAACUAACGUGGCCCAUGAGCUGUGCAGCCCAACCGUACAGUGUACUACACUUUCCUCUUCUAAAUGGGAUUGUUGAAAC